CCGGACGCCGUGUACACUUCCGAU
This 24-nucleotide non-coding RNA is filed under the name Cricetulus griseus (Chinese hamster). Lineage: Eukaryota; Metazoa; Chordata; Mammalia; Rodentia; Cricetidae. The record is from RNAcentral.